RNAcentral lists this ribosomal RNA (386 nucleotides) under Pelagibius sp. Its description in RNAcentral is "bacterial SSU rRNA". It matches the Rfam family "Bacterial small subunit ribosomal RNA", at positions 277 to 680 of the family's 1533-position model. The record is from RNAcentral. Lineage: Bacteria; Pseudomonadati; Pseudomonadota; Alphaproteobacteria; Rhodospirillales; Rhodovibrionaceae.
GCAUCUAUAGCUGGUUUGAGAGGAUGAUCAGCCACACUGGGAUUGAGACACGGCCCAGACUCCUACGGGAGGCAGCAGUGGGGAAUAUUGGACAAUGGGGGCAACCCUGAUCCAGCCAUGCCGCGUGCGUGAAGAAGGCCUUAGGGUUGUAAAGCGCUUUCACUGGUGAAGAUGAUGACGGUAGCCAGAGAAGAAGCCCCGGCUAACUCCGUGCCAGCAGCCGCGGUAAUACGGAGGGGGCAAGCGUUGUUCGGAAUUACUGGGCGUAAAGGGCGCGUAGGCGGAAUAUCAAGUUAGGGGUGAAAGGCCUGGGCUCAACCUAGGAACUGCCUUUAAAACUGAUAAUCUAGAGUCCGGAAGAGGAUGGCGGAAUUCCCAGUGUAGAG